Molecule: unclassified non-coding RNA, 441 nt
Filed under: Zea mays
Lineage: Eukaryota; Viridiplantae; Streptophyta; Magnoliopsida; Poales; Poaceae
Description: misc RNA Zm00001eb310340
Source: RNAcentral
CGCGAGAAGAUUUAUCCUGGCGAUGCACAUUACCGGGUAGAAGGUCCAGUGCUGGUAGCUGAUGAAGAAUUUCGAGGCGGCAUCGAACGCCAGGGUCCGUUGGUAGAAGUAGGACCAUAUGUUGCCGAACAGCUUGGGGGAGACGGCAAAGAGCGGCAUGUGCUGGAGGUCCGGGUCAUGGUCCAGGCUGUUGCAGGCGAUGUGGUGCGUGUUGUGGUUACACUUCCACCAGGCGAUGCUGAGGCCGGUGAGGCAGUUCCCGGAGAGCACCUGCACGACGCGGUCGAGGACCGGAUGGCCGGUGAUGCGGUGGUGGCCCGAGUCGUGGCCCAUCCAGCCGGACUGGAUCCAGACGAAGCCAAUGAGACCCCCCGCGAGGAGGUGCGCCCAGGCGCUGGCGCAUGCGAGGACGAGGUACAGCGCGGCGUAGAAGAGGACGGC